This 426-nucleotide ribosomal RNA is filed under the name uncultured bacterium. RNAcentral's name for it is "bacterial SSU rRNA". It matches the Rfam family "Bacterial small subunit ribosomal RNA", at positions 356 to 774 of the family's 1533-position model. The record is from RNAcentral.
GGGGAAUAUUGCGCAAUGGGCGAAAGCCUGACGCAGCGACGCCGCGUGAGGGAUGAAGGUUUUCGGAUCGUAAACCUCUGUCAGAAGGGAAGAAACCGCACCGUGCUAAUCAGCGGUGCCUUGACGGUACCUUCAAAGGAAGCACCGGCUAACUCCGUGCCAGCAGCCGCGGUAAUACGGAGGAUGCAAGCGUUAUCCGGAUUUAUUGGGUUUAAAGGGAGCGUAGGCGGACUAUUAAGUCAGCUGUGAAAGUUUACGGCUCAACCGUGAAAUUGCAGUUGAAACUGGUCGUCUUGAGUGCAGUAAAGGUGGGCGGAAUUCGUGGUGUAGCGGUGAAAUGCUUAGAUAUCACGAAGAACUCCAAUUGCGAAGGCAGCUCACUGGACAGGUACUGACGCUGAGGCGCGAAAGCGUGGGGAGCAAACA